Molecule: ribosomal RNA, 374 nt
Filed under: uncultured microorganism
Description: bacterial SSU rRNA
Rfam family: Archaeal small subunit ribosomal RNA
Source: RNAcentral
GUGCAGCAGGCGCGAAACCUCCGCAAUGCGCGAAAGCGCGACGGGGCCACCCCGAGUGCCGCCCGCUGAGGGCGGCUUUUCCCCGGUGUAGAUAGGCCGGGGGAAUAAGGGGAGGGCAAGUCUGGUGUCAGCCGCCGCGGUAAUACCAGCUCCCCGAGUGGUGGGGACGAUUAUUGGGCCUAAAGCGUCCGUAGCCGGCCCGGCAAGUCUCCCGUUAAAUCCAGCGAUCUAAUCGCUGGACUGCGGGAGAUACUGUCGGGGCUAGGGGGCGGGAGAGGCCGGCGGUAUUCCCGGGGUAGGGGUGAAAUCCUAUAAUCCCGGGAGGACCACCAGUGGCGAAGGCUGCCGGCUGGAACGCGCCGACGGUGAGGACG